UACGAAGGGAGCUAGCGUUGUUCGGAAUUACUGGGCGUAAAGCGCGCGUAGGUGGUUAUGCAAGUCAGAGGUGAAAUCCCACGGCUCAACCGUGGAAUUGCCUUUGAAACUGCGUAGCUAGAGUUCGGAAGAGGAGAGUGGAAUUCCUAAUGUAGAGGUGAAAUUCGUAGAUAUUAGGAGGAACACCAGUGGCGAAGGCGGCUCUCUGGUCCGAUACUGACACUAAGGCGCGAAAGCGUGGGUAGCAAACAGG
Molecule: ribosomal RNA, 253 nt
Filed under: uncultured bacterium
Lineage: Bacteria
Description: partial 16S ribosomal RNA
Rfam family: Bacterial small subunit ribosomal RNA
Source: RNAcentral